UAAAGGAGACAUUCUGCUUAC
This 21-nucleotide non-coding RNA is filed under the name Caenorhabditis elegans. The record is from RNAcentral. Lineage: Eukaryota; Metazoa; Nematoda; Chromadorea; Rhabditida; Rhabditidae.